RNAcentral lists this ribosomal RNA (1194 nucleotides) under Haptophyta environmental samples. RNAcentral describes it as "SSU rRNA". It matches the Rfam family "Eukaryotic small subunit ribosomal RNA", at positions 427 to 1648 of the family's 1831-position model. The record is from RNAcentral. Lineage: Eukaryota; Haptophyta.
AGCGGGCGCGUGAAUUGCCCGAAUCCUGACACAGGGAGGUAGUGACAAGAAAUAACGAUACAGGGCUACAUCUAGUCUUGUAAUUGGAAUGAGUACAAUUUACAUCUCUUAACGAUGAUCAAUUGGAGGGCAAGUCUGGUGCCAGCAGCCGCGGUAAUUCCAGCUCCAAUAGCGUAUAUUAAAGUUGUUGCAGUUAGAACGCUCGUAGUCGGAUUUCGGGGCAGUCCGACCGGUCUGCCGAUGGGUAUGCACUGGUCGGAGUGUCCUUUUUGCCGGAGACCGUGCCUACUCUUAACUGAGCGGGGGCGGGAGACGGCACUUUUACUUUGAAAAAAUCAGAGUGUUUCAAGCAGGCGGUUCGCUCUUGCAUGGAUUAACAUGGGAUAAUGAAAUAGGACUUUGGUGCUAUUUUGUUGGUUUCGAACACCGAAGUAAUGAUGAGAAGGGACAGUCAGGGGCACUCGUAUUCCGCAGAGAGAGGUGAAAUUCUCAGACCCCGCUGAAGACGAACCACUUGCGAAAGCAUUCGCCAGGGAUGUUUUCACUGAUCAAGAACGAAAGUUAGGGGAUCGAGGAUGAUCAGAUACCGUCGUAGUCUUAACCAUAAACCAUGCCGACUAGGGAUUGGAGGAUGUUCACUGAUUGACUCCUUCAGCACCUUACGGGAAAUUAAAGUCUUUGGGUUCCGGGGGGAGUAUGGUCGCAAGGCUGAAACUUAAAGGAAUUGACGGAAGGGCACCACCAGGUGUGGAGCCUGCGGCUUAGUUUGACUCAACACGGGGAAACUUACCAGGUCCAGACAUUGUGAGGAUUGACAGAUCGAGAGCUCUUUCUUGAUUCGAUGGGUGGUGGUGCAUGGCCGUUCUUAGUUGGUGGAGUGAUUUGUCUGGUUAAUUCCGUCAACGAACGAGACCUUAGCCUGUUAAAUAGUGACGCGAACUCUUUGUUGGCGGGCCACUUCUUAGAGGGACAACUUGUCUUUAACAAGUGGAAGUUUGAGGCAAUAACAGGUCUGUGAUGCCCUUAGAUGUUCUGGGCCGCACGCGCGCUACACUGAUGCACUCAACGAGUCUCUACCUUGACCGAAAGGUCCGGGAAACAUUCGAACUUGCAUCGUGAUGGGGAUAGAUUAUCGCAACUAUUAAUCCUCAACGAGGAAUACCUAGUAGGCGCAUUCAUCAGCGUACCUGAAAG